GAUGAACGCUGGCGGCGCGCCUAACACAUGCAAGUCGAACGAUUAAAGCACCUUCGGGUGUGUAUAAAGUGGCGAACGGCUGAGUAACACGUGGGCAACCUGCCCCUCUCAUUGGGAUAGCCACGGGAAACCGUGGAUAAUACCGAAUACUUCGGGACUUCCGCAUGGAAGACUCGAGAAAGCUCCGGCGGAGAGGGAUGGGCCCGCGGCCUGUUAGCUUGUUGGUGGGGUAAUGGCCUACCAAGGCAAUGAUGGGUAGCUGGGUUGAGAGACCGACCAGCCAGAUUGGGACUGAGACACGGCCCAGACUCAUACGGGAGGCAGAAGUGGGGAAUCUUGCACAAUGGGCGAAAGCCUGAUGCAGCGACGCCGCGUGCGGGAUGAAGGCCUUCGGGUUGUAAAACGCUUUCAGCAGGGACGAGGCGAAAGUGACGGUACCUGCAGAAGAAGCCCCGGCUAACUACGUG
This 467-nucleotide ribosomal RNA is filed under the name uncultured bacterium. RNAcentral describes it as "partial 16S ribosomal RNA". It matches the Rfam family "Bacterial small subunit ribosomal RNA", at positions 28 to 507 of the family's 1533-position model. The record is from RNAcentral.